Long non-coding RNA from Sphaeramia orbicularis (orbiculate cardinalfish), 153 nucleotides. RefSeq lists it as uncharacterized. The record is from RefSeq and is a predicted model, not a curated record. The transcript is spliced from 3 exons. NCBI's taxonomy places the organism in Eukaryota, Metazoa, Chordata, Actinopteri, Kurtiformes, Apogonidae.
GAAAAAUCUUGGGGUUUUUUUUGGACAUUAUUAAAGCCAAUCAAGCUCAAACUUGGUUCAAAUUGAUCAUCCAACAAAUAUCUAAUAUAUUUUCUGACAUUAUUCAGCAAAUAAUUUUCUGAUAUUAUUCAGGCUGGAUAUCCUUUGUAUGAA